GAGCUUUCGGGCUUCGACCGGCGUACGGGUGCGUAACGCGUAUACAAUCUGCCUUUCACAUAGGGAUAGCCCGAAGAAAUUUGGAUUAAUACCUAAUGGUAUAUAGGAGUGGCAUCACAUUUAUAUUAAAGCUGAGGCGGUGAAAGAUGAGUAUGCGUUCUAUUAGCUAGUUGGAGAGGUAACGGCUCCCCAAGGCGACGAUAGAUAGGGGUUCUGAGAGGGAUAUCCCCCACACUGGUACUGAGAUACGGACCAGACUCCUACGGGAGGCAGCAGUGAGGAAUAUUGGACAAUGGUCGGAAGACUGAUCCAGCCAUGCCGCGUGCAGGAAGACGGCCUUAUGGGUUGUAAACUGCUUUUGCAGGGGAAGAAUAAGGAGUACGUGUACUUUGAUGACGGUACUCUGCGAAUAAGCAUCGGCUAACUCCGUGCCAGCAGCCGCGGUAAUACGGAGGAUGCGAGCGUUAUCCGGAAUCAUUGGGUUUAAAGGGUCCGUAGGCGGGCUAAUAAGUCAGAGGUGAAAGCGCUCAGCUCAACUGAGCAACUGCCUUUGAAGCUGUUAGUCUUGAAUGGUUGUGAAGUAGUUGGAAUGUGUAGUGUAGCGGUGAAAUGCUUAGAUAUUACACAGAACACCGAUAGCGAAGGCAUAUUACUAACAAUUAAUUGACGCUGAUGGACGAAAGCGUGGGGAGCGAACAGGAUUAGAUACCCUGGUAGUCCACGCUGUAAACGAUGGAUACUAGCUGUUUGGUUGUUAAGACUGA
Molecule: ribosomal RNA, 764 nt
Filed under: uncultured Cytophaga sp.
Lineage: Bacteria; Pseudomonadati; Bacteroidota; Cytophagia; Cytophagales; Cytophagaceae
Description: bacterial SSU rRNA
Rfam family: Bacterial small subunit ribosomal RNA
Source: RNAcentral